CGCAUAUUGCACCUUUUGGUAUUCCAUAAGGUACGUCUGUUUGAGCGUCGCGAACAUCUCAUAAUUAAUGAAUUUUUUUGUUAAUUAUGGUCUUUGAGUUUGUCUAUAAUUUUUAGACUCACUUUAAAUUGAUUAGUAGUUUAACUUUUGAAAGGGUUAAAAUUAGGUGUUUUUAAUGUACAUUACUUUGUGCAUCAUCUAAUCAAGAGUUACUUACUCUGCCUUAGUAUUAAUGUUACUGCUUCUAAUAGCUUAUUAAGCAAUUAAUAUUUCAAUCGACCUCAAAUCAGAUGGGAUUACCCGCUGAACUUAA
Molecule: unclassified non-coding RNA, 313 nt
Filed under: fungal sp.
Lineage: Eukaryota; Fungi
Description: partial contains 5.8S ribosomal RNA, internal transcribed spacer 2, and large subunit ribosomal RNA
Source: RNAcentral